CAGUAGCCGCGGGAAAACCAGCACCUCGAGUGGUCAGGAGGUUUAUUGGGCCUAAAGCAUCCGUAGCCGGUUGCAUAAGUUUUCGGUUAAAUCUAUGCGCUUAACGUAUAGGCCGCCGAAAAUACUGUGCAGCUAGGGAGUGGGAGAGGUACACGGUACUCGAUAGGAAGGGGUAAAAUCCUUUGAUCUAUUGAUGACCACCUGUGGCGAAGGCGGUGUACCAGAACACGUUCGACGGUGAGGGAUGAAAGCUGGGGGAGCAAACCGGAUUAGAGACCCCCGUAGUCCCUGUCUCUUAUAC
RNAcentral lists this ribosomal RNA (301 nucleotides) under uncultured bacterium. Its description in RNAcentral is "partial 16S ribosomal RNA". It matches the Rfam family "Archaeal small subunit ribosomal RNA", at positions 459 to 760 of the family's 1478-position model. The record is from RNAcentral.